GAUGAAGAAAGUAGCGAAAUGCGAUAAGUAAUGCGAAUUGCAGAAUUUCCGUGAGUCAUCGAAUCUUUGAACGCACAUUGCGCCCACUGGUAUUCCGGUGGGCAUGCCUGUUCGAGCGUCAUUAUCCUCCCUCAAACCUCGGGUUUGGUGUUGGACCCAAGUUGUGUGAACAACUGGUCUUAAAGACAAUGACGGCGUCCGUGGGACCCUCGGUGCAACGAGCUUUUAGGAGCACGCGUCGAGUUUCAAGGACCUUCCGGGCCGGUCUCCUUUACCAUUUUACAAGGUUGACCUCGGAUCAGGUAGGAAUACCCGCUGAACUUAAGCAUAUCAAUAAGCGGAGGA
This 345-nucleotide unclassified non-coding RNA is filed under the name soil metagenome. Its description in RNAcentral is "partial contains 5.8S ribosomal RNA, internal transcribed spacer 2, and large subunit ribosomal RNA". The stretch from base 1 to 121 matches the Rfam family "5.8S ribosomal RNA", at positions 35 to 154 of the family's 154-position model. The record is from RNAcentral.